GUCCGGGCGUGUGGUGAAGAAGGUCUUCGGAUUGUAAAGCACUUUAAGUUGGGAGGAAGGGGAUUAACCUAAUACAUUAAUGCUUUGACGUUACCGACCCAAUAACCACCGGCUAACUCUGUGCCAUCACCCGCGUCAAUACUAAGGGUGCAAGCGUUAAUCGAAAUUACUGGGCGUAAAGCGCGCGAAGGUGCUUUGUUAAGCCGCAUGUGAAACCCCCGGACUCAACCUGGGAACUGCAUUCAAAACUGACUGACUACAGAAUGGAAAAGGGAGGUGGAAUUUCCUGUGUAACGGCGAAAUGCGUAAAUAUAAGAAGGAACACCAUUGGCGAAGGCGACCACCUGGACUAAUACUGACACUGAGGAGCAAAAGCCCGGGGAGCACACAGGAUUAAAUACCCUGGUAAUCCACGCCGAAAACGAUGUCUACUAGCCGUUGGAAGCCUUGAACUUUUACCGGCGCAGCUAACGCAUUAAGUUGACCGCCUGGGGAGGACGGCCGCGAGGUUAAAACUCAAAGGAAUUGACGG
This 532-nucleotide ribosomal RNA is filed under the name Pseudomonas sp. P 24 RR-2016. Its description in RNAcentral is "bacterial SSU rRNA". It matches the Rfam family "Bacterial small subunit ribosomal RNA", at positions 393 to 916 of the family's 1533-position model. Lineage: Bacteria; Pseudomonadati; Pseudomonadota; Gammaproteobacteria; Pseudomonadales; Pseudomonadaceae. The record is from RNAcentral.